GGGGGUGUACCGGUUUCGACGGGGGUAUGGAGGCGGGACCAGCGGGCGGCGGCGCCUGACCGCCAUAAAACGGGCAAUUUAUAAAUUAAAUAACAACAACACUGUUGCUGUUGCUGCCUAAUUAAAGGCAGCCGUCCGACCCGGAAGGACCGCGAGCCGGGAAGGGCGUCGUUUAGCGGUAAAUGUGAGCGCAGUAAGCUUUGCCUGCACCACACAUCAUGAAGCUGACCUGACCUGACGGCGUGACGGUUUGCCGUCUGGGAGGGGAACAGGGAGAAAGGCUCCCGCAAUAAUCGUCUGCGCCCGGAGAAAGUCCCGUUAAAGUGCUUUCGGACGGGGGUUCAACUCCCCCCACCUCCACCA
Molecule: transfer-messenger RNA, 363 nt
Filed under: uncultured Dysosmobacter sp.
Lineage: Bacteria; Bacillati; Bacillota; Clostridia; Eubacteriales; Oscillospiraceae
Rfam family: transfer-messenger RNA
About the family: Bacterial tmRNA, also known as 10Sa RNA or SsrA, is named for its dual tRNA and mRNA-like properties. Its role is to liberate the mRNA from a stalled ribosome.
Source: RNAcentral